CCCUUAGAUGUUCUGGGCCGCACGCGUGCUACACUGAGUGGAUCAGCGGGUCAGGUUGCGCGAAAGUGUUUCCUAAUCUUGAAAUCCGCUCGUGAUGGGGAUUGACGGUUGCAAUUUUCCGUCAUGAACGAGGAAUACCUUGUAAGCGCGGGUCAUCAUCCCGCGCUGAAUACGUCCCUGCCCUUUGUACACACCGCCCGUCGCUCCUACCGAUUGAGUGGUCCGGUGGGGCUUUGGGAUCUGAGCGGAAAGAGCGUUUCGCUGUUUCUGCUCGGAAAACUCAGUCGAACCUUAUCAUUUAGAGGAAGGAGAAGUCGUAACA
RNAcentral lists this ribosomal RNA (322 nucleotides) under uncultured eukaryote. RNAcentral describes it as "partial 18S ribosomal RNA". It matches the Rfam family "Eukaryotic small subunit ribosomal RNA", at positions 1470 to 1796 of the family's 1831-position model. The record is from RNAcentral.